CUAUCUUACGCAUGAAGCCGUCAUGUUGAGGAAACGUGAAGGCAUAUAAAAAGUCCUCCUUUCCUUCAUCUCCAGAACAGCUUCCUCUUUCAGUCUGGUUGGAGAAUCAGAUUUCGUCAUCCAGGAAAAGAACAAUGUCUUGCUAUCAAGAACAGUGUAAGCAGCCUUGCCUGCCUCCUCCUUGUGUGAACACAUGUUCCCCGUGUGGGAACACCUGCUCUUCAGAAUGUGUGGAGCCCUGCAACCCAUGUGCUCAUAAGUAUGUGGAGCCCUGCAACCCAUGUGGUCACCAGUAUGUGGGGUCCUGCCACCCAUGUUCUCCUCAUCAGUGUGUUAUGGCUUGCCAGCCCCAGUAUUCUCAGUCCUGUGGGUCAGGCUGCUCAUCAUGUGCUCCAGCUUGCUCCCCAUGUGCUCCAGCCUGCACAGCUCCGUGUGCUCCUAAGUGUGUGGAAACAUGCACUUCCUCAUGCCAAGAUCCCUGUGCUUCCGAGUGUCACUAGCUGAAAUGACGCAGAUGUCCGUGAACGGCCAAGCGAAGAACGGACGAUGAAGGCACAAGGCUGUGUAUCUUCUCUGCUAAGUCAAAAUUCUCUGCCAAAUUCUGUGGCUACAAACAGCUUUUCAUUUUGCAAAGUGUAUUAAUCAUGCAAAAUUAAAGCCUAUUCAUUUGAA
Molecule: long non-coding RNA, 672 nt
Organism: Sphaerodactylus townsendi
Lineage: Eukaryota; Metazoa; Chordata; Lepidosauria; Squamata; Sphaerodactylidae
Exons: 2
Source: RefSeq, a predicted model, not a curated record